GCGCCCUGUAACUUAACAGGACAAAGCGGCCCUCUGACGAAAGGCCGGAUGCGGGUUCGAAUCCCGCCAGGGGCG
Molecule: transfer RNA, 75 nt
Filed under: Elusimicrobiota bacterium
Lineage: Bacteria; Pseudomonadati; Elusimicrobiota
Description: Elusimicrobia bacterium (anaerobic digester metagenome) tRNA-Val
Rfam family: tRNA
About the family: Transfer RNA (tRNA) molecules are approximately 80 nucleotides in length. Their secondary structure includes four short double-helical elements and three loops (D, anti-codon, and T loops). Further hydrogen bonds mediate the characteristic L-shaped molecular structure. tRNAs have two regions of fundamental functional importance: the anti-codon, which is responsible for specific mRNA codon recognition, and the 3' end, to which the tRNAs corresponding amino acid is attached (by aminoacyl-tRNA synthetases). tRNAs cope with the degeneracy of the genetic code in two manners: having more than one tRNA (with a specific anti-codon) for a particular amino acid; and 'wobble' base-pairing, i.e. permitting non-standard base-pairing at the 3rd anti-codon position.
Source: RNAcentral